This 1214-nucleotide ribosomal RNA is filed under the name Chryseobacterium piscicola. RNAcentral describes it as "bacterial SSU rRNA". It matches the Rfam family "Bacterial small subunit ribosomal RNA", at positions 95 to 1317 of the family's 1533-position model. Lineage: Bacteria; Pseudomonadati; Bacteroidota; Flavobacteriia; Flavobacteriales; Weeksellaceae. The record is from RNAcentral.
GCGGCGUACGGGUGCGGAACACGUGUGCAACCUGCCUUUAUCAGGGGGAUAGCCUUUCGAAAGGAAGAUUAAUACCCCAUAAUAUAUUGAUUGGCAUCAAUUAAUAUUGAAAACUCCGGUGGAUAGAGAUGGGCACGCGCAAGAUUAGAUAGUUGGUGAGGUAACGGCUCACCAAGUCAGUGAUCUUUAGGGGGCCUGAGAGGGUGAUCCCCCACACUGGUACUGAGACACGGACCAGACUCCUACGGGAGGCAGCAGUGAGGAAUAUUGGACAAUGGGUGAGAGCCUGAUCCAGCCAUCCCGCGUGAAGGACGACGGUUCUAUGGAUUGUAAACUUCUUUUAUACUGGGAUAAACCUACCCUCGUGAGGGUAGCUGAAGGUACAGUAUGAAUAAGCACCGGCUAACUCCGUGCCAGCAGCCGCGGUAAUACGGAGGGUGCAAGCGUUAUCCGGAUUUAUUGGGUUUAAAGGGUCCGUAGGCGGAUCUGUAAGUCAGUGGUGAAAUCUCAUAGCUUAACUAUGAAACUGCCAUUGAUACUGCAGGUCUUGAGUAAAGUAGAAGUGGCUGGAAUAAGUAGUGUAGCGGUGAAAUGCAUAGAUAUUACUUAGAACACCAAUUGCGAAGGCAGGUCACUAUGUUUUAACUGACGCUGAUGGACGAAAGCGUGGGGAGCGAACAGGAUUAGAUACCCUGGUAGUCCACGCCGUAAACGAUGCUAACUCGUUUUUGGGUUUUCGGAUUCAGAGACUAAGCGAAAGUGAUAAGUUAGCCACCUGGGGAGUACGUUCGCAAGAAUGAAACUCAAAGGAAUUGACGGGGGCCCGCACAAGCGGUGGAUUAUGUGGUUUAAUUCGAUGAUACGCGAGGAACCUUACCAAGGCUUAAAUGGGAAUUGACAGGUUUAGAAAUAGACUUUUCUUCGGACAAUUUUCAAGGUGCUGCAUGGUUGUCGUCAGCUCGUGCCGUGAGGUGUUAGGUUAAGUCCUGCAACGAGCGCAACCCCUGUCACUAGUUGCCAUCAUUCAGUUGGGGACUCUAGUGAGACUGCCUACGCAAGUAGAGAGGAAGGUGGGGAUGACGUCAAAUCAUCACGGCCCUUACGCCUUGGGCCACACACGUAAUACAAUGGCCAGUACAGAGGGCAGCUACCAGGCGACUGGAUGCGAAUCUCGAAAGCUGGUCUCAGUUCGGAUUGGAGUCUGCAACUCGACU